UGCCCCUUAGGGGGCAGGGGGCUUGUGAUUUCUGAGGGAGCCCUGGCUCCUUCCAGCUCGAGUUAUCCUAUGUCAAGAUGGAGAACCAGCAGUCCAGACUCAGUGCCCUGUCAGGCAGAAUUUGCUUGGCAAUAACAAAGACCCAUAGCCUUUCUGAUGUCACCCAGAACCUCGGACUCCGUAUCCACGGGGGUUGAUUAACCACCUCACUGCCACCCUGAAACCGGGGUCCUUUAUCCUGGCAGGCAAGUCCCUUUUGUGUUUCCUGAGACCUGGCUUCAGAGACCCCCCCCCCCUUCCCCUCUAGGCAGAGGGCCAUGUCGCCUGCUGUGUGGUGCUGAGACUGUGCUGCAAUGCAGCAGGAGCUGCGGCGGGCGAGCGGCUGAGGGUCGGAGCUGUCCGGUGUCUGCUUCCCAGAGUGAGGAAUGAAAGAUGAAGGAGAGGGCUUGCAGGCAGUGCGAAGUGGCCAGGCGCCCAGGAAACCCAAGGGAAGAGUGAAGAUGAGCCUGUGACUUUUGCAGGAGGGCCAGAAAAGUAUGGGCUCUGGGAACGGUGGCGAGUCAUAAGGGGUUAGUGGACCAGCAGGUCUUGGGGUCUCAAGGUGAGUCAGUUUGCCGUCCCGUGCCUGAGCGCAAAGUGAUGGGUCUGAGAGCAGCCGAGGCGGCUGGCUGCAAACAGCUUUAGGUGGAAAAGCAUCAAUUCUUACCUCUCCAGCAAGGCUUAAUUAAAAACGAAAAAAACAAAACAAAACAAAACGAAAACUAGGCAGUGUGCCUGAGCUGGUUACUCGAUGUGUGUGACAGGUGACAGUGCUGUUCUCUUAACUAAAUUGGCACAGUGUCCCAGCAGGAAGACUUACACAGGCUGCUGGUUCUGCGUUAAGAUGAGAUGCUGCGGGGGUCUUUACAUCUAGGGGGAGGGUCUAGCGGUGCUGGAGGGCACAUCAGGGAGUAGAUAGUGUGCAUCUGGUGGGUGUCUGUUUCUUGGGUGCCCCCCCCCCCCAGCACUUUUACCUUCUGUCCAUGCAAUUUGCAGGGAGUGUUUCUUCAGUCCCCGUGCUGUUCUGAUCCUUGGAAACCAGCCUCAGGACACUGUGCUUCAUUUAACUUGGACCCAAAGCCCCCUCUGAGCUGUUAAACGUUUCCCUGAACCCCGUUGACACCUCUGUACUUCAUUUUCACUUGUUGAUUAAAAAGAAAGUCAGACUUUAUUAUGUUUUCUCCCCCAAGACACCACAAACGGAGAAAAGCAAUGUGUUCUUAAACAGCACAGUUUUAACCUGUAUUUCAUCAUCGAAAUGUAGUGCCCAUCCAAUUUAGCCAUCCCCCUCCUCCAUCUGAACCCUGGACACCCCCUCCCCUCCCACUAUCCAAGCUCUCAGAUUUUUUUGGACCAUUUUGAAGCUGAUUCUAGAGAUCAUGUUGGCUCUUCUGUGACUCUUAGAAUAUUUAUCCUUAAGCAAAGCUGUUUUCCUUUAUAAAAACAUAAAUAUAUCCAUUGCAGCAAUUUGUAAAAUAAAAAUACAUGUGAUGCCAUUACCUACCACAAUUAAAAAAUUAACAGGUUUUCCUUUUUGCCAUCUAACCUGUGUGCAGUGGCCAAAUCUUCCUGAUGAACUCAUAAUUUUUUUUUAUGAUUGAUCUUAUUCAGAUCUCUGCUCCAAAGUGCUUCCUGCACUUUCAAGGGGACUGUGGGGUUCUCAAAGGUAAGUACAGCCUGAAAGGCAGAGCUUUACACCAAAUACAACCUCAGUGAGCCUCAUUUUUCCCCCUAAAAAUGGAGCCAAUUCUGAGAGCCUCUCAGGACCAGCAGGCAAAUUAGAGACAGGUACACAUGCAUCCCCCAGCCCCAUUUCAAACGGAAAAUAGGCACGGCAGCCAACAGCUGUUACUUGAAUUAUCUGUUUUUCCCGGAAACCUCUAAAGGAGUUGGACUGAAUAGACAAGCGAGAGCUGGCCAUCGUCCACAAAACAAAAGGCGCCUGGCAAGCCAGGGGCCCUGAGUGAUUUAGCCACCUCUCAACGAGGGUCGCCUGCAGUCCCGGGGGGCUAGGUCCGGAACCCCCACAGGGCGCUGGUCCACUAGGUGGCACUCUCUGCUGUGUGUCCAGGACCAGGACAGACCACUCCCCAAGAUGCUCAGGCCACAGCCAAGACAUCCCGUCCCAGGUAAUUCUAAACAGCAUCUUAACACAUUGUGCAAAGCACAGCGGCUUUUCUCCCCGCAUCCCUCCCAGCCCGGCAGCAGAAACGCAGACAGCGAACAUUUCACAAUGAUUUGCUGAGACUGAAACACUAGAAUGCCCACCCCCCUUUUAGUUCCCAGCCCGGCUACAUCUGAUUGCUUGUUAUUUUACAGACAAGGGGAUGAGAAGGAGUUAGCAUUUUCUCAAGAUCGGCUAGUAAGCAGAACCCGGGGCUGCCGCCCAGGGCUGAUCGUCCUCACAGGAUUUCCCCUUGUUCUCAGCAUCUAGACCCAAAAGGCCUGGGAGGGAGGAUGUCUGCUGCCCUGCAGUCUCCACACCCGAGGAAUGUCUGUGUGUGUGCACAGCAGGCUGCUCUGCUGCACCGUGCUCGUAGUCCCUCACCCUGUUGGACCCAGGAAGGUGCUGCUGCUCCUCCCAGUCUGCAAAUCCUACGCGUCCGGGGCCUAAGACAGAGAGACCAGGUCACGUCUCUGCAGUUACACAGCUCAACAGAGGCCCUAAUGUGAAGGGAGUCUAGGCUGCUCGUGGAGACCUUGGCAGUGACUGUUGUGGGCAGUGAGCCAUGCAUGGGACGGCAAGAUUCAGUGCCGUCUUCCUGUCUGAGACUGAGGCUCUUUGGGCCAGGAAUAGCAGGACUCAGUUUGUGCUUGAUUUCAUCCUGUGGAGGCUUCCAUACCAACUGACUCAGCCUGACACACCAAAGGUCUUGGCUUUCACCUGUGUGGGUAAGGGAAGAAGAGAUUUAUGACCCCUGAUUUAAUUAUUUAAUAUGGAACCUUUGUCCCGAGUAAGGAGCAUAGAUGAGGAUGAAGAAUGAAGACUGUAGCAGACUGAAUUACUCUCUUAGAUGAGGAGUUUGCUACUGCCAUUGUCGAACCCCCGGUGGCAGAUUUCCUUAAACAUCGGGCCUUGCCUGCAAGCUCUACAGACAUGCUCAGUAUUUACAUGACAUCCCAAGACAUGAAGUCCAUGAUGCUGUAUCCCCAGGCUUAACAAGUAUAGAUACUAAUUUGCUUUAUCUAUCUGUUUGGAUCAUGGAGUCCAUUGCUAGCCUAGGGUCUUCAGCACGCAGUAGGUUUUAAUGGGCUCCCAGUUGCUGAUGUAAUCAAUAUCCAGUUGUAUAAGUUCUAAGGUUUUUCUACUGUGAACAUGGCACACCAAGACUGAGAACCAGUGGCUCAAGUCUGCUUUAAACACGGGUCCAUGAUCACACACUCAGUACCUACCCUCUGUGCUCACAAGUCCUGUGUGAGUAAUAUUCCAAGUUAUUCUGUCUUGUUUUGGUCAACAGUAUGCUCUAUGUUAUUAUAGAGUAUACAGUGUAUUGAGACAAGAAUGCCAGUCAUUCAGUCAGACAAAGUGCAGCCAUUCUUUGUCAUUUUAAUUGUUGAUGAAUAGAUGUGUUGAUCAUCAAACAUGCAUGUAUUAUUGGAUAAGAAGAUAGCAUGGGCCAAUGAUGACGAGGUUUCGGGAUUAUAAGUCACAGACGAUGACUACGUCAGUAGAGGUCUGAGGUCCACAGCAUAAGAUGCCUCAUGUGACCCUCUCAUGCAGGGGUUGCAAGUCUGGCAUGUGCAGCACAUAUUAGACAUUAGACAUGCACUCUCAUCAUUUCAUAGUGUAUCACCGAAUCAAGACAUAAUUCAACAUCAAUAAUUUUUAAGGCAUUGAUCAAUCCUGAACAUAAAUAUUUGGCCAUCAAUGAUAUUUAUACACAUUGAAAAUCUAUUCAGAAAGGUUUAUAUAACCUUUAUCCAAGGUGAUUUAUAUAGUAAAAUUCAUGGCUUAUGUUUCUGUGAUGUUCAAGGCCUUAAUUUUUAAAAUUAUCAAUUUUUAAUUUAGUUUUUUUACUUGAUUGCAUGACAAUUUGACUCUUAAACAAGGAAAGGAGAAAUGUAAAACUCAAUGGACAAAUAUCAAUCUUUUCAUUAUCUUUGCUGUUCUGUACUUCCUGGAUGGGUUCUGACACAUUCUUCCCUGCCUGGGAGGUCCUUCGUUGACCCAUCAUCAUGAGGACGGAACUCAGCAACUGAUAAUGCAUUCUGCCACCAAGAUGAUUCUCACACUCGCGUUUAAUCAUGAGCCCGAUAAUAAGCUGCUUCAGAUUGUAUAGACACAGUAAUGUAUACCUCCAAGCUUCGUUAUUCUUGAGGUUUUGGUUUCCCUGUAUGUGUCUGCAGAAUUGACACAGUAAUGAAUAUCCUGCAAGAUGACUUCAUACAGUCUCCCUUGAAAAUAAACCUCGUGAUCUAGCCUUUGUGUUCGUGGAUAGACAUUGUGAUGGAUUCCCCCCAAGUUCAUUUAGACUCCAGAAUGGAUACCCCCAAGCUGAUGUAUACACACUCUUCCUUGCUUACGAGAUUCUUGCUCUGUUCGUUGUAGUCAUAAGAUAGACAUAGUUGUGUAUUCAGUGUUCGCACCUUGAUUGUGCAUUCUUUGAAAGACUACGGACACUACUAACUUGUCCAAGUGGAUGGGUGCCCUCAGUUUGAUUCGGACACUCUGCCCUACUGCUGUGCUUUCUUGUCAGUACUUCGUGCUUGGGAUGUAUACGCAGUAAUAGAUUUUCCCCAGCAGAUUUUUCACAAUCUGUAUUCCUUGGAGUAGUAUAAAAGCAGAUGCCUUCCUUACUGGCCACCAGGUUCAUGGGCCCUAGUUUGUAUCAGGAGCAGAUUGAUCCAUAAAGGUCAACUUCAGAUGAAUGGGUGGAUCCUACCUCAUCCUAAGCUCCAGGGUUGAUUGUGUUGUGAAGGUCACAGCUACAACCGGCUCAGGGAACCCAAUGGAUGAGGAGGUGGAGAGAGUGUAAAAGCCGAUUGGAAUCGAAGACCCUGAGGAAACAAGGCCUUAUAGACACAAGAGGACCGAUGAACUCAUAGAGACUGAGGCAGCAUGCUCAGGACUGCACAGGUCUAAGCCUCAUGGGCUCUCAGCACUGAGAUGGGAAUUCUAUACUGGACACAAUUCUAUACUGAUAACCCAGAAGCUCUCUCCAGUUGAUAAACUCUGUCAAAGGAAAAACUAGUUUUCUCCAAUGGAGUGUCACUGGACAUAUAAACCAACUUUUAGAGCAGUCUCCAUGGUCCAGACGGCCAACACAGGAUGAACUCAAUGGCAUCUUGGGAGGGUUUUGUGACUCACAAUGCUUUGUCUGGGUACCUUUUCAGCCUACUGAUAUUUUUUGUAUAUAGUAUGGUUGCUGAUUGUAUUUUUUUAAUUUUCUCUGGGUCUAAAUAUAUGUGACUCGGGGUC
Long non-coding RNA from Apodemus sylvaticus (European woodmouse), 5458 nucleotides. RefSeq lists it as uncharacterized. The transcript is spliced from 26 exons. The record is from RefSeq and is a predicted model, not a curated record. Lineage: Eukaryota; Metazoa; Chordata; Mammalia; Rodentia; Muridae.